RNAcentral lists this ribosomal RNA (243 nucleotides) under uncultured bacterium. Its description in RNAcentral is "partial 16S ribosomal RNA". It matches the Rfam family "Bacterial small subunit ribosomal RNA", at positions 15 to 248 of the family's 1533-position model. The record is from RNAcentral.
GAUCCUGGCUCAGGAUGAACGCUAGCUACAGGCUUAACACAUGCAAGUCGAGGGGCAGCAUGAUUGAAGCUUGCUUCAAUCGAUGGCGACCGGCGCACGGGUGAGUAACACGUAUCCAACCUGCCGAUAACUCGGGGAUAGCCUUUCGAAAGAAAGAUUAAUACCCGAUAGUAUAGUAUUUCCGCAUGGUUUUCACUAUUAAAGAACUUCGGUUAUCGAUGGGGAGUGCGUUCCAUUAGAUAG